RNAcentral lists this ribosomal RNA (444 nucleotides) under uncultured bacterium. RNAcentral's name for it is "partial 16S ribosomal RNA". It matches the Rfam family "Bacterial small subunit ribosomal RNA", at positions 354 to 796 of the family's 1533-position model. The record is from RNAcentral.
GUAGGGAAUAUUGGGCAAUGGUCGGAAGACUGACCCAGCCAUGCCGCGUGCAGGAAGACGGCCCUCUGGGUUGUAAACUGCUUUUAUCUGGGAAGAAAAAGGCCAUGCGUGGCAAAUUGCCGGUACCAGAUGAAUAAGCACCGGCUAACUCCGUGCCAGCAGCCGCGGUAAUACGGAGGGUGCGAGCGUUGUCCGGAUUUAUUGGGUUUAAAGGGUGCGUAGGCGGCUGAUUAAGUCAGCGGUGAAAGACUUCGGCUUAACCGGAGCAGUGCCGUUGAUACUGGUUGGCUUGAGUGUAGGAGGGGUACAUGGAAUUGAUGGUGUAGCGGUGAAAUGCAUAGAUACCAUCAGGAACACCGAUAGCGAAGGCAUUGUACUGGCCGACAACUGACGCUGAUGCACGAAAGUGUGGGGAUCGAACAGGAUUAGAUACCCCUGUAGUCC